CUGGGGGGCGGUCUGUGACAGGGCAGGCCAUCCCAUGGGGAGUGAGAAGACAGACAGAGAGGUCCUGAGGCUGCCUUGAGAUCCCACCUCUUUGCACUUGAGCUGGUCGUGAAAGGGUACCAGAGAGGACCGAAGUUGCCAACCUGCUGAGGAGUGAGGGUCCAGGGAGAAGUUGAGGUGCCCAGGUGGAGCAGCGCCUAGAGGAUGACUUGAAUACUGAUAGUGGUACCAUUGAGGCUAUUGGAGUAGGGCGUUGUAAAGGCCUUAGGAAGAGGAAUGUUGAAAACCCUGGAGCUGUUGGGCCAAUGGACUUCAAGGGCACUCUGGAGAGGCCUACAGCAGUGGAAGAGUUCCUGAGAGGUGGGUUUGCGGAGUCUGGCACCAAGGAUCACAGUUGGCCUCUGUUAAGUUCUCAUGGCAGUCAUUGGCUUCAGGUUGGAAGGUCUGAAGGUCAUCACAGAAAGGUCUCUCGUACUCGAGGUCUUCAAAUAACAGAGCUAGAGGAAUCUCAGAAAGAACUUCCAGGUCAACCUUUACAUGGAAAUUGGUGCUCAGAAUUUCUCACUCCUGUUCAUGAGGAAUGCUGA
Molecule: long non-coding RNA, 587 nt
Filed under: Vulpes vulpes (red fox)
Lineage: Eukaryota; Metazoa; Chordata; Mammalia; Carnivora; Canidae
Description: lncRNA (ENSVVUG00000024209.1)
Source: RNAcentral